UACGGAGGGUGCGAGCGUUAAUCGGAAUUACUGGGCGUAAAGAGUGCGUAGGUGGUUGGAUAAGUUAUCUGUGAAAUCCCUGGGCUCAACCUGGGCAGGUCAGAUAAUACUGUUUAACUCGAGUAUAGGAGAGGGUAGUGGAAUUUCCGGUGUAGCGGUGAAAUGCGUAGAGAUCGGAAGGAACACCAGUGGCGAAGGCGGCUACCUGGCCUAAUACUGACACUGAGGCACGAAAGCGUGGGGAGCAAACAGG
This 253-nucleotide ribosomal RNA is filed under the name uncultured bacterium. Its description in RNAcentral is "partial 16S ribosomal RNA". It matches the Rfam family "Bacterial small subunit ribosomal RNA", at positions 524 to 776 of the family's 1533-position model. The record is from RNAcentral.